RNAcentral lists this ribosomal RNA (423 nucleotides) under uncultured bacterium. RNAcentral describes it as "bacterial SSU rRNA". It matches the Rfam family "Bacterial small subunit ribosomal RNA", at positions 355 to 771 of the family's 1533-position model. The record is from RNAcentral.
UGGGGAAUUUUGGGCAAUGGGCGAAAGCCUGACCCAGCAACGCCGCGUGAAGGACGAAAUCCCUCUGGGAUGUAAACUUCGAAAGUCGGGAAAGAAAUCCCUGGGGUUAAUACCCCCGGGGGAUUCCGGUACCCGACGUAAGCCCCGGCUAACUACGUGCCAGCAGCCGCGGUAAUACGUAGGGGGCAAGCGUUGUUCGGAAUUACUGGGCGUAAAGGGCGCGUAGGCGGCAUGGCAAGUCAGGAGUGAAAGCCCGGGGCUCAACCCCGGAACUGCUUUUGAAACUGCCGAGCUCGAGUGCGGAAGAGGCAACUGGAAUUCCCAGUGUAGCGGUGAAAUGCGUAGAUAUUGGGAAGAACACCGGAGGCGAAGGCGGGUUGCUGGGCCGACACUGACGCUGAGGCGCGAAAGCCAGGGGAGCAA